GACGAACGCUGGCGGCGUGCUUAACACAUGCAAGUCGAACGAAGAGCGAUGGAAGCUUGCUUCUAUCAAUCUUAGUGGCGAACGGGUGAGUAACGCGUAAUCAACCUGCCCUUCAGAGGGGGACAACAGUUGGAAACGACUGCUAAUACCGCAUACGAUCUAAUCUCGGCAUCGAGGAAAGAUGAAAGGUGGCCUCUAUUUAUAAGCUAUCACUGAAGGAGGGGAUUGUGUCUGAUUAGCUAGUUGGAGGGGUAACGGCCCACCAAGGCGAUGAUCAGUAGCCGGUCUGAGAGGAUGAACGGCCACAUUGGGACUGAGACACGGCCCAGACUCCUACGGGAGGCAGCAGUGGGGAAUCUUCCGCAAUGGACGAAAGUCUGACGGAGCAACGCCGCGUGAGUGAUGACGGCCUUCGGGUUGUAAAGCUCUGUUAAUCGGGACGAAAGGCCUUCUUGCGAACAGUUAGAAGGAUUGACGGUACCGGAAUAGAAAGCCACGGCUAACUACGUG
RNAcentral lists this ribosomal RNA (510 nucleotides) under uncultured bacterium. Its description in RNAcentral is "partial 16S ribosomal RNA". It matches the Rfam family "Bacterial small subunit ribosomal RNA", at positions 28 to 507 of the family's 1533-position model. The record is from RNAcentral.